AUGGAUGGUCUACCUUUGGUGUGCUAUUCGACAGGGACAGUAAAUUCCCUUCUGGACAAGCUGGCCAAACUGAGGAAUCAUUCCAAUCCAACAGAAGAGUUCUCCAACCUGACAGAAAACUUCAAGAAAGCUGUGCGGAGCCUUAAGGAGGAUUUCUGCGACAAGCUCGGCGUACCCACGGUGUGUAUGAAGCAAGUCAGGGAGCUGGUCUUCGAAAUUGAAGACUGGAUCAAUCAAAAGGCAAAGACCGACAUGCUGGAUUCGUCGGACACAAAAGAAAUCCAAUAUUUCAUGACCGAGAUCAGCGAAGUGCAUGAGCGCUUCACAUGGUACGGCGAUCUUUUCAAGGAAGUGCUCACCGAGCCCGGUCUUGAUGUUGUUGCACCCAGCAACAUUACCAUCAACCCUCGACUGCCUGUCGAGGAGAAAUCUUUCCCUGGUAUUCUCGAAGGUCCAAGAGACAAGAUCGUCAAACACCUAACAGAAGAUAAGGAGGGGAUGCGAAAGGUGGUGUCGAUUGUCGGAAUGGAAGGCCUUGGUAAGACUACUCUUGCCAAGGAGAUCUAUUCGGAGCUUCAACUUCGUCGUCAGUUCGAGUGCCAAGCUUUCGUCUCUGCUGGCAGGAGACCUGCCAUGAGGGAAAUACUAAAUGAUAUACUCCGUCAAGUAAAGCCUUGGAGUGCUAAAUUAUCUAGCUACGAGAAAGCUAAGGACGUGGAAGAAAUUAUCACUGAGCUCCAAGAAUAUUUCGGCACUAAGAGGUACUUCAUCGUAGUCGAUGGCAUAUGGACUAUCUGGGCUUGGAAAGUUAUCAAUUGUGCUUUGCCAAAUAACCUUGGAAGUAGGGUCUUGAUUACAACUUGCAUCAAGGAUGUAGGGAAAUCUUGUUCAAUAUAUCGUAGCGAUCUUGUCUACGAGAUGGAGGCACUUAGCAAGAAGAACUCUGAAAUCUUAUUUCUGAGAAGUAUAGCUCGUCGAGGAGAAAGAGUGUCAGAUUUUGAAGAAGUUUGUGGUAACAUGUUGUUGGAUAUGUGUGAUGGCAUGCCAUUGGCCAUAAUUGUUGCAGCCAACUUAUUAGCCAGGAAAUCUGAAGAAAGGACAGAGCUGAAGAUGCUUGGGAAAUCUAUUAUAUCAUCAAUGAAGCAAUAUUCCCCCACUAAAGGAAUGACAAAUAUACUGCACAUGAGUUUUGCUGAUCUAUCUCUUCCUUUGAGGUCUUGUUUUCUGUAUCUUGGUCUUAUUCCACAAGAUUAUACCAUAAAAAAAGAUCGUUUAAUACGGUUAUGGGGAGCUGAAGGAUUUAUCCCAAGAACAAAUAGAGAAUGCUUGUGGGCAACAGGGGAGAGGUUCUUCAAUGAGCUUAUCAGUAGAAGACUGAUUCAACCGGUGUUUGACUACACUGAUGACCAAGCAUUUGGAUGUACCAUUCAUGGUGUGAUUCUUGAUUUCAUCAGAUCCAUGUCCAGAGAAGAGAACUUUGCUACAAGGGCUGCAGAAUUAUGUUUUGGUCCAUUUCCAUGUGACACCAUUCGGCGGUUAUCGCUCGACAGUAGUAAUGAAGACGAAGUUGUCACAUUCUCGGCAAGCACUCCGCACUUAUCAAGGAUGCGAUCGCUCAUAUUUUUCGAAGAUAUUAAUGAUGAAGAGGAGAUGCAUGUUCCACUGUCCAUAAGAGCUUCUGUGGAUAUUCUUUGGGGCUUCAAACUUCUGCAGGUGCUAGAUCUAGAAGAUAGAAAGGGGUUAGAAGAUCACCAUCUGGCAGGCAUUGGAGAAUUGGUCCAACUGAGAUACCUAGGACUGGCAGGGACUGGUAUCAGGGGGUUACCAGAGGAGAUCGGAGAACUGGAGCAGCUAGAGACCCUAGAUUUGAGGCGGAACUGGUACUUUGGGACGACUUUGCCAGCAUCAAUAUUUAAAUUGCAAAAGUUGAAGCAUCUGCUGCUUUUCCUGCUUGAUGUGGACGUCGAGAGAAUUCGGGUGAUGCAUGAACUAGAAGAAGCAAGCAGUUUUGCCAGCGGAAGCAACUCACUUGGUAUGGUGGUACAACUGCUGAGGGAGUCUGAAUGCCUAAGGAUACUAGAUGUAAGGCUGGGUGCAUCACCAGUAACCAAUCUCAUGUAUUUUUUCGAUGAGGUUGUAAAGUCCAAGCUCCAAUCCCUAUCUCUUAAUUGUGAGGAUUUUGAUGAUGAAGAGGUUUCCCUACUGGUGGAUUCAUGGGUGGAAGUCACAGCUCCACCAGAAAAUAAAUUUGAUCCCCCAAGAUUUGAGCUCGUACUACUUGAUCUUCCUCUCGGGCGAGUUCCACCUAAUAUGGGAUCACUCUCCAGCCUUACCCACUUGCACAUUCAACUCGAGCAAGCAAAAGCAGAAGAUUUCCAAGUCCUCGGGGGCUUGAUUAAUCUAGUCCUACUCAACAUGGUUGCAAAAAGUUGUUUCCUAGAAGGAAGCAGGUUCAUCAUCAAGAAGGGCACCUUUCUGCAUCUGAAGGUGUUUUCGUUCAUAAUCCGGGAUAGCUGGAUGGGCCUGGAGUUCAAAGAAGGGGCCAUGCCACAGCUUCAAAGGCUUUGGCGUACUCUUGUAGUGAUAACAGCCCGGGAUCGAUUUGAAUACUUGGAUAUUGGCAUCGAACACCUCACAUGCACAACAGUCCAUGUGAUGAUCAAUUGCACAAAUGCUACUUAUUCGCAGGUGGACGCCGCAGAAGCUGCCAUCAGAGCCAAAAUAUCUGAACCCGUGUUAGUAUUGAGCAGAAUUAAUGAAACAUGUAUGAAGGACGAAGGGCAACUUUCAAUACAUCAAGAUGAGGGCCACUCACUAGACUUGCACAAAGAUGAUGACGACAAGAUGUGGAAGGCAUGGGAGAAGAUAGGAAUAAGUAGCUUACAAUCAAUACGGGAAAAACGUGUGUUGCCUAGUGUUUUUCUCUAA
RNAcentral lists this ribosomal RNA (2928 nucleotides) under Triticum aestivum (bread wheat). Its description in RNAcentral is "partial small subunit ribosomal RNA". The record is from RNAcentral. Lineage: Eukaryota; Viridiplantae; Streptophyta; Magnoliopsida; Poales; Poaceae.